AGAGAGGUGUCCGAGUGGUUGAAGGAGCUACCCUGGAAAGGUAGUGUACGGGUAACUGUACCGUGGGUUCGAAUCCCAUCCUCUCUACAA
This 90-nucleotide transfer RNA is filed under the name Kaistella carnis. Its description in RNAcentral is "Chryseobacterium carnis tRNA-Ser". It matches the Rfam family "tRNA". From Rfam's summary of the family: Transfer RNA (tRNA) molecules are approximately 80 nucleotides in length. Their secondary structure includes four short double-helical elements and three loops (D, anti-codon, and T loops). The record is from RNAcentral. Lineage: Bacteria; Pseudomonadati; Bacteroidota; Flavobacteriia; Flavobacteriales; Weeksellaceae.